Xiphophorus couchianus (Monterrey platyfish) is the source of this 3723-nucleotide long non-coding RNA. RefSeq lists it as uncharacterized. The transcript has 2 exons. The record is from RefSeq and is a predicted model, not a curated record. NCBI's taxonomy places the organism in Eukaryota, Metazoa, Chordata, Actinopteri, Cyprinodontiformes, Poeciliidae.
ACAACACACAGAAGUCGUCAGGGAAACAGAAAAAAUAUAAUAAAUAAAGGAACAAAUCAUCCUAGGAAUAAAAGAAACCUAGUUGUCCCCCUGAUUGCCAACAUUUGAAAUAAAAACAAACAAACAAACAAAAAAUUAAAAAGAAAACCUGACUGCAGCAGUGUCAGCUUAGAGCAGACUGAGGGAGAGGAGGAGAGAGGAGAGAAAAGGAAGAGGUGGGGAUGCUAACUCUCAACGCUCAAACCACCGGUCUGACCAGUAGCAGAUCUGGAGGGGGCCGUUUGGUAAAUAACAGCCUAAACCACCUUUAAGACUGGAAAGACACCGUAAGACUACGGUGUCAUGCAAAUGUAUUCACACCCUUUCAGCUUUCAGGGAUUUUAUGUGGCAAAUAAACCAACAAAAAGUAGCGCACUUUUGUUGAGUGAAAGGAAAACGACACAGGGUCUUAAACAUGUUUUCCACAAACAUCUUAAAACUCUUUCACCCAUAUCUUUAACUCCAGUCCAGGGUUAGAUUUCAGGGUGUCUGUGCAUCCUUCAAAAGUCCUACAUUCAUGAAGCUAAAAUCAAUACCUUAAAAAGUCUUAAAGUCAUUAAAGAGAAGGUAAGUUGGCCUUAAAUUUGUUAACCACCGGUCUUAAAUUUUGUCGUGGUUAUGACACGACAAAAUUAUGACACGGGAUAUAAAAGUCCCGUUUUUCUUACAGGACUUUUGUAUCAGGCAAAUGUCUGAGUUGCAGACAUCGCUCACUAUAUUCUGUGUCUCAGGUGGUAAAGACUAUGAGUAACAAGCUGCUAUUACUGGUAGCUAGCUAGCUUUCUUGCAUUUUCCAUGGGAAAGUGUGAACUUAUCAGCAGUCGGCUAGACGACGUUCACAAAAAAAACAUACAAAACAGCUAGCUAGUUUUUUGUUGAUAAAUGUAAAUUUAUUGGCAGUUGGCUGGAUGACAUCUGCAAAUUUCCUGAAAAAAAGGCAUUUCUUUUGUACAUUUCAGUUGUGAUAUAGGUCUUAAAUUGUAUUCAUAACGGUCUUUAAAAGUCUUAAAUUAGAGAUGGUGAACCCUGCAGAAACUCUGGAUUAGGUAUAAGACUGUAGCGUGGCACAGGGAUUCACCUUAAAGGAAAACAAUGACUCUACACAAACAGCCUGAGCUGCCAUGGAAUGGCAAAAGUCUAAAAACAAGCUACAAACACUCACUCCAUACUUUGCCAGACUAUUUCCAAAUGGUUUUUAGAGAUUCUGAUAACACUUGAACUUGCUUGUUCCAUUUCUAAAGCAGGUAUGCCUGGAGUACAAUAUGUGAUCAUUGCUCUUUAUGUUGUUUUUGAAGAUAAAACAAACAAAAAAAGUGUGUUAAAUUAAUUGUUUCAACACACUUGGCCUAAUGCUACUUCAUAAAUAAAAUAAAAUCUUGCUUUGAAAUAUUAGUCACGCAUGUAAUUAUUUUCCAGCAACUACUCUUUUUUUUUUUUGCAUCCAUCAUGGGUAAAUUUAUAAUGAAUAAAAAGCAUUAAAACACUAUUUAGUAAAGCAUGUUAUUAUUGAUUGCAAGUUGAAUCAUUGUAAUUUUACAAACAUUCAAUAAGCAGCCCUAAUAUUAACCAUCUUAGAUCAUAUUCUAUAAAAAGGGAAAAAAAAUAAUUAUUUAAUGUACGCUUUUUGUUCCACUUCACAAUUGUGCACUACUUGUUGCUGGUGUAUCGACUAAAUCCCCCCCCACAAUAUGCAUUUAAGUGGUUCACAAGGUGUGAAUAUCUUUUGCAAGGUGUUGUAAAUUUGCAGCUGAUUAAAACAAAUAUUGUCCACCACAAAACAAGAACAGCAAAAUGAGUUUGUUGCGAUCCGUUUUAAGCGAGAGCACUUUUAGUUAGAUGAGGAAACGAUUCUCAUUCUAGCGGUGAAGUUACGGCAUAAAGGGGAAAGUGUGUGUUGGGACACUGGGCUAAAUUUACAGUCUUUUACCAGUCACCAUGAAGGCAGUCAAUAGUUAAAAAAAAAAAAACAAGCUAAAAAUAAAAUAUGGAAGAGGAGGAAAUAAAUUUAAAAAGCUACAUGUUAAUGUCAGAUAAAAUAAAAAUAAAACAGACGAACAUGACUGGCAAGGAGAUCACAGAGGUUUAUGUGAAAGACAAAUGAGUGAAAACAGAAAAAAAAAGAGAGAGGGUAAAAAGGACAAAGGUUGCACUCUUUUCAAACUUUUCUACAAUUUUACACAUGUACAAAGAACACAAAAAUAAGUUCACACUUCAGUCAUUUAUCAUUCCAGGAGGGAGAAAAAAAAAAAAGUCAUGCAGGAGCAAAAAUUUUGACUGGUCAGAUUCAGACGGAGCUCAUCUGCCAAAAUGGGACAAUAGCAAGAGGUGCAGCGUACCAAAACACUCGGUCAAAUUUAAUUGAAUGCGUCCCGUCCAGGAGUUUGGAAUGCUUUGGGCUGGACCGCGUCCGCAGGGUCAGGCAUGCACAAUUGCCUCCCAACCACUUUCACCACAAACAUCCAUGCAGUGAGGACUGACUGUUCGUAUUCACUGAUGCCCCACAGCACAACCAUCAGCUUGCAUGCAGAGCUGCAACACUACUUCUGCACACACACACACGCAGAACUCAGCCUUUCCACCCUUUACUGCUGUGAUAUCCGAUUAAAACUCUGCGCUGCGGAGAAACCGUCACUUUCCUCAACACUCCGACAACAACAGAUCGCCCACAAACGACUCGGCUUGGAACAGGAGCCGACCUUCGGGGUCAACAGGGAUGUUCUCUCCUCUGAUUUCAUGCAGAACCCCAAGGGUCAAACAAAGACACUCUGAACAUGGGUGAGACUGAUGCAGGAUGAACCGGCUCCAGUGGCAUCCGCUCUGCUUGCUGAUUGGCUGAAGGUGGACAGGGUGGGGGUAGGAUAAAGGGAGGGAGGGGGAAGGGAAUCAUGUUGCACCGUAGGAUGCAGGUGGCUGCCUCUCUUUCUCGACUGUACUGCAGCAGAAGUUUAAAAAAAUUAAAAUAGAAAAAGCAUCCAGCCUCAUCCAUCAUGCAGGAAGUGAGUUGUACACGCCCAAAAAGGAGAGUGGGGUGUGGGGGUGAGGGAAAUCCCCGUUGUAAGCCCAUGCAGAAAUCCCAGCUUAAAGUGGUGGAUCAAGUAAGACGGGCUGGAAAAAAUUCCCUGAUUAGAAAACCAAAAUCUGCAUUCAAACACUCAGCACAUGCUUCAGUAAAACAGAAAAUGUGUAACUGUAUCCAAACAAACCUAAAAUCAAAAAACAACACAGAGAUUAUAAACAUUGGAAAAGAAUCCAGCGUUCCGUAACAGUGAGCAUGCGAACGCCAGCAUGCUGCUGCUGCAAUUACCCAUUAGUACCAGAAAGAAAGAGAGAGAGAGACAACAAGAGAGAGAGAGAGAGAGAGAGAGAGAGAGAGGUGAACCCAAUGCCAAGGAGGAGAAACAAAAGAGCAUCCGACUGCAAUCUGCCAUGCAUCAUACUGUCACUUUCACCGGGCUCCUCUCUCAUGCCCUCCAGAGGCAGCUACACAAACAUCAUUCCAGCUGCUGCGUGGAAAAUCGGAACAUCGGCGUGGCUAACUAGGGGAGCGUCGUCGGGGAAACGAAGCCAAGGAGGCCGACAGGUUGACGUGAAAACAAGGCAUGCUUUUUGCUCACGUUCUUGCACCCCCUCCAAAAUUAAAAAAAAAUUAAUCCCAGCACAUUUAAAGAAAAAACAACAAAAACC